GAGGGUAUAGCUCAAUGGUAGAACACUUGCUUAACAUGCAUGAGGCCCUGGGUUCAAUCCUCUGUGUCCCCC
Molecule: transfer RNA, 72 nt
Filed under: Cavia porcellus (domestic guinea pig)
Lineage: Eukaryota; Metazoa; Chordata; Mammalia; Rodentia; Caviidae
Rfam family: tRNA
About the family: Transfer RNA (tRNA) molecules are approximately 80 nucleotides in length. Their secondary structure includes four short double-helical elements and three loops (D, anti-codon, and T loops).
Source: Rfam by way of RNAcentral